GACGAACGCUGGCGGCGUGCCUAAUACAUGCAAGUCGAGCGCAGGAAGCUGACGGAACUCUUCGGAGGGAAGGCAGUGGAAUGAGCGGCGGACGGGUGAGUAACACGUAAGGAACCUGCCUCAAGGAUUGGGAUAACUCCGAGAAAUCGGAGCUAAUACCGGAUAGUUCAUCGGACCGCAUGGUCCGUUGAUGAAAGGCGCUUCGGCGUCACCUUGAGAUGGCCUUGCGGUGCAUUAGCUAGUUGGUGGGGUAACGGCCCACCAAGGCGACGAUGCAUAGCCGAACUGAGAGGGUGAUCGGCCACACGGGGACUGAGACACGGCCCAGACUCCUACGGGAGGCAGCAGUAGGGAAUCUUCCACAAUGGACGAAAGUCUGAUGGAGCAACGCCGCGUGAGUGAUGAAGGUUUUCGGAUCGUAAAACUCUGUUGUAAGGGAAGAACACGUACGAGAGGGAAUGCUCGUACCUUGACGGUACCUUACGAGAAAGCCACGGCUAACUACGUGCCAGCCGCCGCCGUAA
RNAcentral lists this ribosomal RNA (524 nucleotides) under uncultured bacterium. Its description in RNAcentral is "partial 16S ribosomal RNA". It matches the Rfam family "Bacterial small subunit ribosomal RNA", at positions 28 to 523 of the family's 1533-position model. The record is from RNAcentral.